Molecule: long non-coding RNA, 7422 nt
Organism: Dromaius novaehollandiae (emu)
Lineage: Eukaryota; Metazoa; Chordata; Aves; Casuariiformes; Dromaiidae
Exons: 3
Source: RefSeq, a predicted model, not a curated record
AAGCAGCUCUCCCGUCCCCAGCGGUACGCUGCACGCUCCCGGAGCUCGCCACCGGCACGGCGCUGGGUGCAUUAGGCAACGCAGCCUUUUGUUUCGCUGCCCCGCCACCCCCCGCUAUUGCAACUUCCUUCGCUGGCGGACGAUCCGCACGCCGGGACCCCGAGCGCGCGGAAACGGCCCCGGAGCAGCUUUGGAUCGGAGGCGCCGGCUACGGCCGCCGGCUUCUGCUUGGCGGCCCGUGUUCAAGCCACCGGCAGCCGGGGGGACCCGUCGCCUCCUCCUCCUCCUCCUCCUCCUCCUCCUCCUCCUCCUCCCUGCGGGCGCGGGGGCCCACGGCAGCCCGGCGGGCGAGCUGUCAGCGCCCCACUGCCCGGCCAAGCUGGACGCCGCCGCGCAGCCGACCCCGAGGCCCCGGGCGAGCGAAGAUGCUCGAGGAAAGCGGCCCGCGAGCCAAGGGCUCCCUCCCCACGCCCCGGCUUACCCAUGGCGCUCAGGGCUGAGAUCCCAUGAAAUGCCUUUAACAACAGAGCUGGAAAGUAGAUUUCUGCCUCAUUUUUGGAACUUCCUGAAGCAGGUGCCUAUGAAAACGAGAUGGCAUGGCUCCGAAAGGAGAGAAACACUUUCCUAAUGCUUCCAGUUGGAUCUAAAAGCCACCCCAAUUUUUGCAUCCUCUGGUAUUGACUUUUAAACUUCACAAGAAUCGCGAGAGAGCCCUCAGAGGGAUGCUCCGGGAGGUGUCGGCAAGAGGGUCGUGGUCCUGCGCAGGUGAGUGACGGCUUUGCUGGAGGUGGCAUGUCCCCGGAGCUCUUCCACGGCGAGGCAGGGUUUCUUCUGCUCCCGGCUGCACCUCUUCUCCCUGCUCAGGCCCUGGGCACGGCAGUCGCGAGGAGCAGAUACAGCUCUGCCAGCUGACGUGAUUCCUACAGAAAGGUUUCCCUGAGCUUAGCAAAAUACCUCUGCUUGUGUCCACUGUGCACCCGCUCUGCUCUGCGGAGCUGGACUCUUCGUCACCUGUCCCGAGGACGCAGUGGAGGAAGCCCAACAUCUCCUGUGCCAUGGACCAGCACCCCGGCUGGGCACUGCCGGUGCCCGGGCAGCGUGUCAGCCAGGCAGGCUCCUUUUCCCCAGGGAACAAUUUCGCUUCCUAGUGAGUGCUAAAAGCAGCGAUUGCAGGGCAAUUCCAGCAGUUCAUUCCCCGCAUCUGCAGCGUAUUUGUAAAGAGCAAUGAUAAUCGCCUGUUUAAACUUCUCUUUCUCUAAUCGCAUACUUACCCUGUGAAUCACAGCACUGGUCUCGUGGAACAAAUCUGUUCUGACUUUGUCCUCACUUCCAUUGUUGUAAACUAUUUCAGAUAUUAAGAUAUAUUUAUACUGAAGCCACAUUUCAAAGGUCAUCGCAUUUUAACCAGUUCGGCAUGGCACUUGUCAAUAAACAUGACCGAAGAGAGGUUCCUCUGGCCCUCAGAGCAUCAGACUCCACCGCUUGCACUGUGGAUAUGUUUGCUUAGUUCAGAGGGCACUGUGGGCUUAUCUUCCCCUGCUGUUAACUCGUUCUGUGUCCCAAACAUAUGCCAUGUAUUUAUCUCUGGGAGCAAUGCCAUUUUGAACUCAGUGUUUCCCUGCUCCUGUGUUCUGGAAUCGCACUGGUUCUUUCCAGCUACUUUAUAGCACUGGGAAUUUAGUCCAGCUGGCUAUUGACUGUUAUGCCAGAUCUGCCUCAACCGCUGCUUUCCAGAUGUCCUGAAAAUACUGCCUAUCUUGCUGGGUUUCACGUGUAUGACCCUGCGUAUCUGGGUUAGAUGUGUGCCGUUCAGCGAUGUUUGGCUUAGCAAGCAAUGCAGCUUUCUCCUCCCGUGACGAAGACACCUCCCAAGCUGCAUCAUCAGCAAACUUUAGUAGCAGGCAUUUCCUAUUUUCUUUAAGAUCCUUGACAGAACAUUCAAGGUUUGGGGAAAACCCCCACCUGGAGAGGAGGCUAUUUGUAACUUAUCAUUUGGAGGCCUCAAAACUGGUAGCCAGUUGUGAUCCAAUAAAGAAACCCCGUCUGGCUUCUCUGCCUUGAUUUUAGUUUAAUCAGCAGAGUUUGUUGCACCCAGAUGCUGCAUGGGCCUCCGCCAGAGACUUGGAGACUGAGCUUGACAGAUCAGCAUGGCCUUGCAUAAGCUGUGCCCAAGCAGCCAGUCCAAGCCGGAGGAUGACUCAGGUCAUCAAAACAGAGCUGGAGGAACUGGGGAGUUGAGCACAGAAGGGAAGUCACUUUGCAUUCAAGCAGAAGCCCUCUGUCGCUCUCAAGUGAACACAUGAAGAUCUGAAGCCCUGAGCCUUUGGGAGCAAUAGCGUGGUGCCUGGCCACACGCUUCAGGAGGACACAAAAGCUUGCAUUAAAGCUACAGGAACGACAGACCCCUGCAGUGGUUUGGACGCUAUUUCAUCUGUGAGUUCGCUUCAGGAGGACAUUAUGCAGUUGAACCAAGUAUGGGCCAGAGAGGCAGAUGUAAAACAGGGGGCUGGACAGGCAGCAAAUGCUGCUCCUGCAUUAAAACAGAAAAGUCCCUGUGAGUAUUUCAAAGACCUGGAAGCUGUACAAGCAUCACUGGCAAGUUGGUUGAGAUGAUGGUUAAAACCAGAGCAAUAAAACACCUUCUGGAUAAUCAUUUGCUGGGCACCUGCCAAGGCAGAGGCUAUGAAGAAAGCCCACAUCUCUCUCCUCCCACACUUUCUGGCAGAAGAGCUCUGCUGAGUAGCAUCACCCAUUUUGACUCCCAGACAGACCUGGACACGGGGGCCCGUGGGGCGCAGGCUCGGAGAACAGCCAGCGGGGCAGAAAGCAAAGUGCGGCGUCAGGAGUGUGAAGCAUUUCACGCUGUCGCAGGAGAAACAAGCCAGUCCUGGAUUUACAGCACUCUGGAUGAACUGCGUCGGCUCCAGGCAGGAACACGGGGAGCAACGCAGACAGAACAGAGGAAACCUGUGCUCAGCCUGCUGCUUUCCACGCCCGGACUGCAGAAACACCAGUGGCUCUUGCCCUCUGCCCUCGAGCAGCCGCCCAGCGCAGGCCUGGUGGGAUGCCGUGCAGUGCUGGGCGCUUUUGGAAGGAGAAACCUGCUGAUGAAGAGGGGUUGAAAGACUGCAGUUCCUUAACUGAGAGAGUAAAUACAAGCGGGUGAAAUAACGAACAGACUUGGCAUGGUGAUUUUGAAAAGACCCUGGACGUUUAUUUGGCUGUCAGUGUGCUUCCAACUAUCAGCGUGCUCCCAGCUAUCAGCCACACUCACAGCAAAUAUAUUAUUUCAAACCCUCCCGUUGCCACUGUGUUGGCUCUUUCUGGCUCAGUUCUCGUGUGGACCUGACCUCCAGGAGAGCUGGAGAAGAGAUGUCCCAAUUUGCCUCAUCGCCUGUUGGUGGAAAGGAACCCACCGUGCCAUCCAUUAAGGAUGAUCGGGGAGGGAGAGAUGAGCCAGACACCCCAGGGACAGCCUCGCACCGCACACCAUCCAUCCCUUGAGUCCCUCCAGGAUGCUGUGUCAGGGAUGCCACAUCACAGCCUCCUUCUUCCCCUUGGGGGUCUGACCCACAGAGUUGGGCAUGCGGCUCUGAUGGAAGGAACCGGGACACAUCCAAGGGCACGAGAGCAGGAGACACACACUAACAGCCAAUUAGAAAAUUCCUGUUUGGACACGGUGCUGCUUGUGUCACAUAAAAUAUGACAGGCUGCUCCGUAAGGAAGUUUCUUUUCUCCCAGUUGAAAAUUACUGGGGAGGUUUGCAAGGCUAAGCAAAACCCAGUGGCAGGGUUAGCAGAGCUUCAAGAAAGGGAUGUAAAACUCAGGAAAGGAGGGACAGUAAAUAUUUCCACUCUCGCUCGGUCUCACACCCACAGCCUCAGCUACAAACGCGGAAGGUGAUGAGUGGCUAAGACCUGUGGUCAGCCUGAGUUCGUGAGCCCUCUCUUGUACCCCGACCUGCCCCGUGUGUGUGUACAGCCCUGCCCCAGGCAGACCGCACACACCAGCCCCCAAUACCCCAUGGCAACUUCCUCUUGCUGGGGAGGUUUCUGGCUCCGGCCCCCAGCCCGAGUUUGGCCAGAAUUCACUGCAUUCCGUUCUUCACCUCCCCUUGAUGUUUUUUGGCUCUCCUGUGCUUGGUUUGCCACCCCUCACCUGCUCUGACUGUCACUUCUGCACGGCACCUCCUCAUCACGUGUGCUGUGGGAAAGGGAUGAAUAGCAAGGCCACCCUCAAAGACUGGACAUCACAGCUAGAAAGAAAAGGCCCCACCGCAUCCCACGAGCAGCAGCAGCAUCUCCCGACCCAUUGCACAGCUCGCAGGGUGCUCCUGGCACCAGCCCUGUCUCCAGCCCACUCCAUUCUUCUCUACGAUUUGUCCCCUCCAACCCGUUCCCCACGAUGGCCUUCGAGCGUGAGCUCCCAGAGAAACAGUGUGACCAGCAAGGCAUUUCCCACCGCCCUCGGGGCAGGCCUGAGCUCAGCUGCUCCGGCUAAAGCAGGGCAGUUCCACCAAAUGAUUACGGAUUAAUUGCUGCAGAUCAUUCAUUUCAGCUACCUACACACUCUCAUACCAGCCCUCCCCUUGUGCUAACUCAACCCACAAAAAGCCCAACCAUCUAUACUCUGACUAACAAAAAACAAGUGUUUCCCUCCUUUAAAACCUCAAAGCUUUGGCUUCAGCUGUGUUAUCUGUCACCAGAUAUAACUUUUGAUAAUUUCAAAGAGAUUGCCUAUUCUCUACAGUGCAUGCCUGCCGCCAUACUUUGGCAUGAUUUCUCCGGAGGUGAUUGCGUGGGGCACCAGGAGCACCAUGUUCAGCAUCUGCGAUGCUACGGCUGCCCCGGUGCUUCCUGGGCGCUGUGCUUUGGUCCCGGGGAGCAAGAGGAGCUGGCUUAGGAGAUGAGGCAGUGGGCUGCCUCUCUGCAUGCAGCCUUACACCUGGAUCACUGGAUUCCCAGAGGAUGUAGAAGAAGGAGAACGACAGCAUGAUCUCCAUGCGGAGGCCUCCCUUACCACAGGAGCUGGGGGACCCAUUUUCACGGGUCUUUACUGCCCCCAAAUGAAACCUUUCAGAUGCACAUUGGAGGGUCCUACACCAGCACGGCUGGGUCUGGAGGUGCAAGUGCUUAGCUAAUACCUAGAGGAGACCUUGGCCUGAAACGACUGCAACGUUGUUCUUCCCACGCUGCAGGGACACGACCAGUCACCACUCCAGCUCUGAAGCAAAAAGCCAUCCAAAACCUGGGAUAUCUUCAGCAUGAACGGGACAAACAAAAAAAAUGACCUUAAGCUGGUCUAGACGUUUCCAGCAACAACAGAAACAUCACCGAAGCUUCCCAGCCUACUCUGGCUGCUCUGCUGCCUUGCUGGAUGAAGAAAUGCUGGAGACUUUUCCCAUCCCACGCUAGGACAACAAGGUAUCUGCUUUGCCGGGGCCAGCUCAGCACUGCCCAGCUGUGUAGGCUGAGAGGUUAAGCAGAGGGACUGGGAAGGGAUGGGGUGACCUGGUCAGCAAAUGUCAGACCCCUGGCAAUAGGUUUUUUUUGUAGUUACCCUUCGUGGUCCCCUUAGAAGUAGUCAACAGACUGUCACUGCCGCUGAAAACCACUGCUCUACCGGACUGAACUGGGAGGAGCAAAGAAGGGAUGAAAAGGAGAUCCUACCAGGUUCGUGGGAGGCUAAGGAUUCUCUCACGGCCAGCGUGGACCCAACCUUUGCCACAAAGAGCUGGAAACCCGUAAUACUAGAGGAAAAACAAACAAACAAAAAAAACCCCCAUGUGCUUUACAAUCACCCGCUCACCAAACUCGGUUUUAAUUAUACAGCACUUAGGAGUGGAAAAAAAUGACUUCUGCUUCUCUAACCCAUUGUGAUAAAUGUUAUUUCACUUGAGACUGGUAGAUAAAAUCAGUUUAAGCCACAUGUCUUAAAUAUGAGACUUUAUCUGAAUCAGUUUUGGAACCUGACCUUUAUUGUAGUGCAGCAACACAGCAAGGCAGUUUAUGCUAAAUACGGCAGUUUUUCAGCAUUCGGGACGUACAGACAAAUACAGAGCUGUUCAUGAAUUAGCUGAAACACCUUAAAGAUGUCACAGGAGCGAAAAAAGAAAUGGAGACCCUUAUUUGAGAGGAGGAUAUAGUUCUGAUGUGUUUAAAGAAGGAAGUGCUUUAGAAGCCGAGGAAAGGGCUUCCCUUCCCCAGCGGGCUUGGGCGAAGCCGGGCUCACACGUCCCUCUGCAGCCGUGGGGAGCGGGUUGGAGCAGGAAAAGCGCAGAGUUCACAUGCCUACUCGCUGCAUUUGGAUGUUUUGGUUAAAAACAUCCUCCCCAGGAGCUCUCUGGUUAAUACAGCCUUCACAGCUGAGCACAGAUGUGGCUAACAGCACCCCGUGAAACACGCUCUGGGCUGCCACCCUCCACCACAAGGCUCAGACACCUGCAGGGCACGUCACCGAUAUCGCCCCUGCACCAGGAGGGCAUUAGCAUGUCGAGCAGGUGCCGCAAACCUCCACGCUCUUCGAAAGCACAUGGCCCUGCUGCUCAGCAGCACGGAGCGUGCAGGCAGCGGGGUGACGCAGGUCUGGCGUCCUCCAGCCAGGGGCUACCUCAGCUUAGAGGCUCUGCAGAGAGGCUGAUCUUCACUCGCUAUCAGUAGACAUGCACCUGCUGACAGAUGGGACAGCUUCUCCUCUGCUUUGAGGGCAACAAGUGUCGUUUGUGCCUCCGCUGAAGCUCUCGGAGCUGUGCACAGGCUCCGCGGUGUGAGCCGGAGCCAGACCUUCGCCCGGACGGUGGGUGCAAAGGUUUGGGCAGUGCUCGCACCAGAAGGCAGGAUCGGGUUCAGCCAAAAUAUGGGGCUUUUUUCAGCUUGUCUUUCACUCGAAAUUGCCCCAGUGUUUUCAGACUGAUUAAAAUGAAGCUGCAGAAAAGAGCAGUAAAAUGCACUACAUUGGCAGGGGAAAGAGCCCCAGCUGCCCAGGAGGCUGGAGGAAUGGGUGACACAAGUUCAAAUCCUUCCUCUACCUUGGCUUAGGAGAGUGCCCGGGCCAUGGAUCUGUCCUGCCUGUCACAGUUGCCCUCUCUCUGGCCAGAGGGAUAACUCAGCAUCUAUUAGGGUGAUGAAGCACCACCUUCCCCCUGCCUCAGACUAAGUCAUCCUCCCACAGACAUGAGUGCAAAUCCCCCGUGUAAAGGCAGGGACUGAAUCUAGGUCUUCCACAUCCUGGGUGAAUAACAAGCUACUGAAUAAGAAAAAAAAAGAGCCACUUACUCCCUCUCCAUCAGCUUGGUGACCUCGUUGCUUCAUUUCCCUGUUAUGAACAGGUGAAGGUUUUAUAUAUAUAUAUAUAUAUAUAUAUAUAUAUAUAUAUAUAUAAUGUGUGUGUAUAGAUAUAUUCAUUAAAAAAACAACUAACAUA